AAGCAGGUCAGUUGGAGUCUUGUUUGCUCCUAGAUAUUCACACACGGCUCACAUAGUGUGGAACUCAGAUGGACAGCAAAACUGUUGAAGGUGCCGGAUAAUCAUCAUGCUUUUAUAUGUCAUCGCCCUACUAGAUCCACAAGAUCCUCUAGAAUUGCAUCAGUUAAUGAUUGUAGUAUACCAUCCUACCGCACAGCAUUCGGGCAGUCCUCUUUGGAAAUGGAAUGCUCUUCCAGGCAGCAGGACACUGAAGAGGUCAGUUGGAGUUUUGUUUGCUCCUGGAUAUUCACACACGGCUCAAAUAGUGUGGAACUCAGAUGGACAGCAAAACUGAUCAAGGUGAAGGUCAAUCAUCAUGCUACCGACUGAUACGCACUCGUGAUCCCGCAGCCUAGGCAACCACACUUUAAUCAAACUGGAUCUAAUCACGUGCCUUCUGUCUACCAGCUAUGGAAGGAUACAUAGCGCACAUGCGGCUCGUGGUACUCCUGAUCCUAUCACUUUGUG
Long non-coding RNA from Engraulis encrasicolus (European anchovy), 507 nucleotides. RefSeq lists it as uncharacterized. Lineage: Eukaryota; Metazoa; Chordata; Actinopteri; Clupeiformes; Engraulidae. The transcript has 5 exons. The record is from RefSeq and is a predicted model, not a curated record.